UACGUAGGGUGCAAGCGUUAUCCGGAUUUACUGGGUGUAAAGGGAGCGUAGACGGCCAGACAAGUCUGAAGUGAAAAUCCAGCGCUUAACGUUGGAAGUGCUUUGGAAACUGCCGGGCUAGAGUGCAGGAGGGGCAGGCGGAAUUCCUAGUGUAGCGGUGAAAUGCGUAGAUAUUAGGAGGAACACCAGUGGCGAAGGCGGCCUGCUGGACUGCAACUGACGUUGAGGCUCGAAGGCGUGGGGAGCAAACAGG
RNAcentral lists this ribosomal RNA (253 nucleotides) under uncultured bacterium. Its description in RNAcentral is "partial 16S ribosomal RNA". It matches the Rfam family "Bacterial small subunit ribosomal RNA", at positions 524 to 776 of the family's 1533-position model. The record is from RNAcentral.